GGUACGCCUGCCAGUGAAUAUUUCAACGGCCGCGGUAUCCUAACCGUGCAAAGGUAGCGUAAUCACUUGUCCCCUAAAUAGGGACCAGUAUGAACGGCUAAAUGAGGACUAAUCUGUCUCCUUUGACUAACCAGUGAAACUGAUCUUUCGGUUAAAAAGCCGAAAUAAACACAUAAGACGAGAAGACCCUGUGGAGCUUUAAAUUAUAACCAAAAUGCCAACACAACACGCCACAUAAUGGCCAAAAAUUUUAAGUUGGGGCGACUUCGGAAAAAAACAAAACUUCCGAGCAUAGAGAGCACCUCUCUAAUCGAGACUGACAAGUCAAAACAACCAUUGACCCAGUACUACUGAUUAACGAACCAAGUUACCCCAGGGAUAACAGCGCUAUCUUCUUCAAGAGUCCAUAUCGACAAGAAGGUUUACGACCUCGAUGUUGGAUCAGGACACCCAAAUGGUGCAGCAGCUAUUAAAGGUUCGUUUGUUCAACGAUUAAUAGUCCU
Molecule: ribosomal RNA, 503 nt
Filed under: Chalarodon madagascariensis (Madagascar iguana)
Lineage: Eukaryota; Metazoa; Chordata; Lepidosauria; Squamata
Description: partial 16S ribosomal RNA
Rfam family: Bacterial large subunit ribosomal RNA
Source: RNAcentral